UACGGGGGGAGCAAGCGUUGUUCGGAGUUACUGGGCGUAAAGAGUGCGUAGGUGGUGCCCUAAGUCUGUUGUGAAAUCUCCCGGCUUAACUGGGAGGGUGCGGUGGAAACUGGGGUGCUUGAGUGUGGGAGAGGUAAGCGGAAUUCCUGGUGUAGCGGUGAAAUGCGUAGAUAUCAGGAGGAACACCGGUGGUGUAGACGGCUUACUGGACCACGACUGACACUGAGGCACGAAAGCGUGGGUAGCAAACAGG
Molecule: ribosomal RNA, 253 nt
Filed under: uncultured bacterium
Lineage: Bacteria
Description: partial 16S ribosomal RNA
Rfam family: Bacterial small subunit ribosomal RNA
Source: RNAcentral